GCCCCUCUGGUCAAAUUGGCAAAGGCGCCGCACUCAGACUGCGGAGAUUUUCCCGGUUCGAAUCCGGGGAGGGGUACAA
This 79-nucleotide transfer RNA is filed under the name Mycobacteroides chelonae. Its description in RNAcentral is "tRNA-Leu". It matches the Rfam family "tRNA". From Rfam's summary of the family: Transfer RNA (tRNA) molecules are approximately 80 nucleotides in length. Lineage: Bacteria; Bacillati; Actinomycetota; Actinomycetes; Mycobacteriales; Mycobacteriaceae. The record is from RNAcentral.